Non-coding RNA from Microcebus murinus (gray mouse lemur), 2621 nucleotides. Lineage: Eukaryota; Metazoa; Chordata; Mammalia; Primates; Cheirogaleidae. The record is from RefSeq and is a predicted model, not a curated record.
UUGUGAUGGUGAUGGUGGGGGUGGUGGUGAUGAGUGACGAUGGCAUGAGAGAUGGUGGUGAUGACAAGAAUAGUGAUAGGUGAUGCCAGUAGCUGCCAUUUGUUGAGUGCUCCCAUUGUGCCACAUCUACUUCUGAUCAGAUCUCUCAAUUUCUUUGGUUAAUAUUAUAGAAAGAGGAAAUGAGAUCAUCAAUGCAAACGCUUCUUAAAAGGAUUAAACCAACCAUAGCAUUUACAAUCCAUUUAUUAAACACUAACUACAGUCCUACACUGAGCUAAGUGCUUUAGACAGGUAUUUUCUCGUGACAACCCUGUGAUUAUUAGUUGGGCUCCAUUUUGACCAGCCCCCACCACUCCCAUUUCCCUUUGCCCCACAUCUCGGCAACCAGCAGGAAGGCCAGACACUCCCUCCCUUGGCACCAGUCGGGAAAUCCGAACUGCAGAUCCCUGCCUGAGUGUGGGAACUCGGACCUCAGCCACACCGUCUACAGUGGAAACCAGAGGCCCUGCCACUUCCAGUCGUUCUCAGGCCAACUCGGGUGCCCGCCCUGCCCUGCCCCCACCCAGGAAGUCUCAUGUGCAAGCGACAAAUAUUUUUCUGCUCUUUUAGUGCAUCUGUGACAUCAUCACUUUCAACAUGUGAGUCAAAUUUGGGUUGGGGAGGCUGAUCCUGCCCUCUGCCCAGGGUAACCACAAAGUAAACUCCAUGAGAUAGGGAAUCUUACUGUUCCCAUUUUACUGGUAAUGAAACAGUAUUCGAGAGGUAAAUUAACUUGCCUCCCAUCACGUUAGGCUAGUAAAUGUCAAAGAUCAGAUUCUGUCCAACUCCAGGGCCUGAGUGCAAAUCGACAAGUCGCUAUUUUCUUCAUUUCUAAGGGUGUUUUAAAAGGUGAAAUGGGAUACUCAUGGUGGAAGAUCCUUGCAAAACUGAACCGUUUGCUGUGGUGUGUGUCUGUGCCCCUCAAAGCUCACACGCUGAAAUUCCAGCCCGCAAGGGGACCGUAUCAGGAGGUGGGGCCUUUGGGAGGUGAUUGGGCCAUGAGAGCUCUGCCCCCAUGGAUGGGAUUAUGGUCUCUAUGAAGGAGACCCAAGAAAGACCCCUCAUCUCUUCCACCACGUGAAGACACGGUGAGGUUCCACCUAUGAACCGGGAGGUUGGCCCUCACCAGACACCAAACCCGCCAGCCUUCGAUCUUGGACUUCUCAGCCUCCAGAACUGUGAGAAAUAAUUUUGUGUUGCUUAUAGAGCUACUCAGUUGUGGUAUUUUGUUAUAGAAGGCCAAACAGACGGAGACAGCACUCGUUCACUUUCUCAUUCAUUCAGUUAGUCAACAAGUUAUUAACUGUGCUCCUUCAAUUCACCAAGCUGAGACCAGGUUAGGGGGACAGACAUUUGGACAAGCAGAGUCCUUUGAGUCAACUAAAACCCAACACUCCUCUGAAAGGCUAGAGGAUCCUGGGGCAAGGUGAGGCCAGCCAGGCCAACCUGCUGUGAAAAUGCUUGGAAUGCAGCCAGCCAAAAUGGGCAGGAAGCCGGGAGUAAAUAUCGACCUUGGCUAAUCCAACCAGAUGUUAUUUCCCAGGAUUUUGAAUCUUACGGGUAUGAAGUAAGGACACGAGGAGGAGCUGAAGGUGCCUUAUCACAGUGGCCCCAGUGACACGCUGCUGCCUGGCCCUAGAAAAAGCCUUUGGUUCUCACCUACCAAUUCUGAGAAUUCUCAUGUCCUUCCAAUUCCCUUAUGCAUAAGAUGGCCAGCAUCCUCUUCUUGCUGGCAGCCAGGAAUUCUGACUGAGGCAUAAAGAACCUGAGGGAAGAGAGAGAGUGCAUUCGUCAAGUUGCCUGUUCAGGUCACAUGUAGCAGCUGGCCUUCGCGAUGGCCCCCAGUGAUACCCUAAAAUCCAUGGCUUUAUGUAGCCAUGAAUACGCUGACCUGUGUAAGCAAUAGGACGCUGCAGAAAUGACGCAGCGUGCCUUCUGAGACUGCAUCGUAAUGGCAGUGCAGCCUCCACCUUGCCUUCUCUCUUGGGUCACUCGCUGGGGACGAAGCCCACCGCCGUGUCGCGAGAGCACUCAACAGCUUCAUGCGAGGUCCACGCGGCGAGGAACGGAGGUUUUAGCCAACAGCUAACACGAACGGGCUGUCCGCACGAGUGAGCCAUCUUUGAACCGCAUACUUCAGCCCCAAACCAACCCUCGGAAGACUGCAGCCUCGGGAGCCGCAGCUAAGCCACCCCCAAAUUCCUGACCAACAGAAACUGAGGUAGUAAAACGCAUUGCUGCUUUAAACUGCUAAGUUUGGGGAUAAUUUAUUAUGCAAUAAUAGGUAACUAAUGCAUUGGAGAUGUGUGAUAACCCAUAAAAAGUCCACAGAAAGGUAAGGUUUGGGGUGACUUCUUCCAUCUGCUCAGGUUGUCCCCAGAUUUCACUCCUUCUGAGUAAGUGUCUUAGAAACGUGGGGCCCACCACCUGGGCAGCCCUGAAGCUUCAGAAAAUGCCCCUCCUGGACCCGCAUCCCACCCUGCUUCCUCCUGCUCACCCCCAGGUGGACUGGGGGUCAUUCUCUGCCCCCCACUUCCCCCGUCAGAUGGGGAAUGGGGUCUCCACCCCUGAGAAUGGGGGAG